This is a long non-coding RNA of Hibiscus syriacus, 343 nucleotides long. RefSeq lists it as uncharacterized. The transcript has 2 exons. Lineage: Eukaryota; Viridiplantae; Streptophyta; Magnoliopsida; Malvales; Malvaceae. The record is from RefSeq and is a predicted model, not a curated record.
AUUCUUUCUAUUGGUUUCUGAUUUGUACUAUCUUCAUGUGUUUCUCUUUUCCUUUAGAUUCUAUAUUAUAUUGAAUUGCUUGCUCCUGAAAUAACUUAAUGGUUUUUAACAUUUUAUGUCGAUGACUUCAUUUUGAAAUCAUUUGAUUGUUUCUUCCGAUUGUCAAAGCCUGAUCAUGUAUUUGUUGUGUUGUCUAACUUUAUUUGGCUGAUUUAAUGAUUCAUGUAUAUAUCCGACACAGAUAUGUUCUAUCUUUUUAUAGUGUUUCCAUGUAUUUUGAGGAUCUUAAGAGGGCCAUAUUCCUGUACCCAUGUCCAAAUGUGUUUUGGAAACGGUCACUUCA